Molecule: long non-coding RNA, 1212 nt
Filed under: Felis catus (domestic cat)
Lineage: Eukaryota; Metazoa; Chordata; Mammalia; Carnivora; Felidae
Description: lncRNA (ENSFCAG00000044798.2)
Source: RNAcentral
GAGAGAGAGAGAGAGAGAGAGAGAGAGAGAGAGAGAGAGAGAGAGAGAGAGAGAGAGAGAGAGAGAGAGAGAGAGAGAGAGAGAGAGAGAGAGAGAGAGAGAGAGAGAGAGAGAGAGAGAGAGAACGAGUGUGUAUGAGGAGAAAGGGGCAGAGAGAAAGGAGCAAGAGGACCCAAAGCAGGCUCCACGCAGAAAGCAGCCAACCCACACUUUUUGUUACCUCUCAACUUGCAAAAAUACCCAUUUCGGGGAGCAGUGGGGUGGGAGAACCAGAAGGCAUUACCACGAAUCUUAGUGUUUUCAUUACACAAAGUAUAAGGAUGUGAAAGAAAACACAUCAGCAACAUCUAAGGGACAGAAUUUUCCCAGCAUGGUUCCAGGGGCAAAAGGUCUACUUUCAGUAUCAAAUUGCAUACAGCAUACAGCAAGGUGGCAACUAUCCAAGUUAGGUGCACUGCCAGUGUCUUUAAACACAGGACACCAUUCACUCCGUGUCCCCAUGGAUUUGGCUGGGACCUAUUGCUCUCAAACCUUGUUUGAUCCGUGAGGAGGAGUAAGGCCAUUUUAACACAUUCGAGGGGGUGGCUCCCUACCUGGGAACUGAAUUGAAGGGAUUCAGACUUGGUUUUGCAUUUGGUGAACUUGAGGCCCGGAAUUGAAGGUGUUCUUGAAACACGGUGUUCCUUUUGCCUCUCCCGCCAGCUGCUGCUGGAACAUUUGGAGUUCCUCGUCUCCAGGCACGAGAGAGCUCUUCAAAAAACCAUCAUCGGGCGACAGGCGAAGACUCCGGCCGGCGUGUCCAGUGAGGCAGAGGUGCUCAAGGUCCUCAACUCCAUAUUGGAGAAGGACAAAACGGAGGAUGAAACGAUGUGCCUAACCACGGCGGUUCUCGACUUGUGCACAUGCUACUGCCUCAACAUCCUGCUCUUGGAGACUUUCAGGGAUCCUGCAUGCCCAGUCGUUGCGCCAGCAGGUGAUCGUCAAAGAAACGACUCAAAAAGAACUAAACAGAAUCAGAACCCAGUCCUACACACUUGGGCAGCAGCUCGUGUGGAGACUCUGCCCUCCAGAUCACCACUGCUUUUACCCACGGACAGGAAAAGCUGCAAAGCUGGUGGUCAGGGCAGACAGUCCAUUCAAAGACUCGGGGACCAGAGCCCAAUUCCACAGACAUGGCUGCCAGCCAGCACAGAGAAGCCAACACUGAGAUAG